AUGUGUAUAAGAGACAGGUGAGUCAUCGAAUCUUUGAACGCAACUUGCGCUUAAAAUCAAUCAUUUUAAGCACACUUGUUUGAGUGUCGGUUUAUAACACACUUUUAAUGUGUUUGAGUUUCAUCUUUGUUUUCAAAGACGUUACUUUAAAACUAUGCUAUGAUAUUUGAUUAUCUUUCACUUCUUAGUAUUUCUUUGAUUUGAAAAAAGAUAACUCUUAUAUCAUUCAUUCCUCUCAAUUUCUCGACCUCAAAUCAAGUGAGAUUACCGGCUGAACUUAAGCAUAUCAAUAAGCGGAGG
RNAcentral lists this unclassified non-coding RNA (300 nucleotides) under uncultured fungus. RNAcentral's name for it is "sequence contains 5.8S rRNA gene, ITS2". The stretch from base 1 to 89 matches the Rfam family "5.8S ribosomal RNA", at positions 65 to 154 of the family's 154-position model. Lineage: Eukaryota; Fungi. The record is from RNAcentral.